AGUAACCUGCCCAUAAGAGGGGGAUAAUCCAUGGAAACGUGGACUAAUACCGCAUAUUGUAGUUAAGUUGCAUGACUUGAUUAUGAAAGAUUUAUCGCUUAUGGAUGGACUCGCGUCAGAUUAGAUAGUUGGUGAGGUAACGGCUCACCAAGUCAACGAUCUGUAGCCGAACUGAGAGGUUGAUCGGCCGCAUUGGGACUGAGACACGGCCCAG
This 214-nucleotide ribosomal RNA is filed under the name uncultured bacterium. Its description in RNAcentral is "partial 16S ribosomal RNA". It matches the Rfam family "Bacterial small subunit ribosomal RNA", at positions 120 to 334 of the family's 1533-position model. The record is from RNAcentral.